AUGACAUCCGUAUGUCUUAUUACCUUUUGGAACUUGGGGAAAGUGCAACAGAUGAAACUUGAAGUUGGAAUUAACGACAAUGCAGGUGCUGAAAUGAUGCCAUCCACGCUAGUGCAAGACAUCCCGGAAUCCUGCUGUUGGGAGUCCCUGGCUGCCUGGUUCCAGGAUUCUCAAAAGGGCAUUUGGAGUCCAGCUUCUUCAUGGAGAUGUCUCCCAGUAGUAAUAUCUUAUCAAUUUGAAGGCUCCAGUGCACCAUUUCACCCCGCCCCCAGCAAAUGAUCUCGCCUCCCGGUUCAAGGGGGAAACAGGCCAACUGGCAGGAAUGCCGGCAGCAGAUUUCCUCAGCACCUGCCAGUACUUCUGAAUCGGAACCUUUCUUCCUCCUUUCUUCUUGUCUUCUGCCUCUGCCUGCCCAGAAACUUAGCUUCUCCCGUAUUUUUGCCCCACACCCUUAAAAAAAAAAAAAAACUAAUUCUAUUCAUUCAUCUUUCUUUUUGGCUAGAGGGCUUCCCAAUAUGGAGACAGCCAUAACUUUUUCCAAGCCCACCUCCUCACACUCUUGCUUCUUUUCUGUCCUUCUCUGCCAAAUUUCUUAAGGGGGAAAAUGCACCACCACAAAGUUGGGGGCCUGCUUAAAUGAGGACCCGUGGAACUUUCAAGAGGUUCCAUCCAGGAUGCAGAUGUGCAUAGGAGGGUCUCAGCACAGAGGCCUGGGCAGGAUGCGUAGAUGGGGCUUCACUGGCAUUUGUUGGAAUGGAAGCCAGUGAAGUUGCCCCCAGCAAGUGUGAGGAGUGAGAACAGAAGAGGGUUAAUUUGGAGUUCCCGUCAUGGUGCAGUUGUU
Molecule: long non-coding RNA, 841 nt
Filed under: Sus scrofa (pig)
Lineage: Eukaryota; Metazoa; Chordata; Mammalia; Artiodactyla; Suidae
Description: lncRNA (ENSSSCG00035079790.1)
Source: RNAcentral